AGUCCUGAGACCAGGCUACCUUGCAUUCCUAAUUUACAUGUUUGUAAAAUUGUUUAUUUCCCUACCCAGGAAAAUGCCUUCGGUGGUUUAAAUGAGUUCUUUUGACAUUCCCUUUAAAGGAUGGAGCCCAAUUCCCCUCCUCUUGAGUACGGAGCUGUUUGUAAGGGACAGAAAAUAGUGGAAGUGAGGAUGCUGCAUGCUGGAGACGAAGUUCUAAGAGACCCUGUGCUUCCUG
This 235-nucleotide long non-coding RNA is filed under the name Homo sapiens (human). RNAcentral describes it as "non-protein coding lnc-FAM69C-4:1". Lineage: Eukaryota; Metazoa; Chordata; Mammalia; Primates; Hominidae. The record is from RNAcentral.